RNAcentral lists this ribosomal RNA (492 nucleotides) under uncultured bacterium. Its description in RNAcentral is "partial 16S ribosomal RNA". It matches the Rfam family "Bacterial small subunit ribosomal RNA", at positions 29 to 507 of the family's 1533-position model. The record is from RNAcentral.
AGUGAACGCUGGCGGUAGGCCUAACACAUGCAAGUCGAACGGCAGCACAGUAAGAGCUUGCUCUUACGGGUGGCGAGUGGCGGACGGGUGAGGAAUACAUCGGAAUCUACUUUUUCGUGGGGGAUAACGUAGGGAAACUUACGCUAAUACCGCAUACGACCUACGGGUGAAAGCAGGGGAUCUUCGGACCUUGCGCGAUUGAAUGAGCCGAUGUCGGAUUAGCUAGUUGGCGGGGUAAAGGCCCACCAAGGCGACGAUCCGUAGCUGGUCUGAGAGGAUGAUCAGACACACUGGAACUGAGACACGGUCCAGACUCCUACGGGAGGCAGCAGUGGGGAAUAUUGGACAAUGGGCGCAAGCCUGAUCCAGCCAUACCGCGUGAGUGAAGAAGGCCUUCGGGUUGUAAAGCCCUUUUGUUGGGAAAGAAAAGCAGCAGGUUAAAACCCCGCUGUUCUGACGGUACCUAAAGAAUAAGCAACGGCUAACUUCGUG